This 316-nucleotide ribosomal RNA is filed under the name uncultured eukaryote. RNAcentral's name for it is "SSU rRNA". It matches the Rfam family "Eukaryotic small subunit ribosomal RNA", at positions 587 to 901 of the family's 1831-position model. The record is from RNAcentral.
AGCUCCAAUAGCGUAUAUUAAAGUUGUUGCAGUUAAAAAGCUCGUAGUUGGAUUUCUGGGCGGAGCGACCGGUCCGCCGCUGUGCGGUGUGUACUUGUGUUCGACUCUGCUCAUCCUUGCGGGGAAGCAUCUUCCGGCAUUCAGUUGUCGGGGUGGGGAACCGCAUCCUUUACUGUGAAAAAAUUAGAGUGUUUAAAGCAGGCAAAUCGCUGUGAAUACAUUAGCAUGGAAUAAUAACAUAGGACUUUGGUUCUAUUUUGUUGGUUGGAGGCCAAGGUAAUGAUUAAUAGGGAUAGUUGGGGGUAUUCAUAUUUAA